CACGCCGUAAACGAUGAUUACUGGGUGUAGGGAGUAUCGACUCUCUCUGUGCCGAAGCAAACGCGAUAAGUAAUCCACCUGGGGAGUACGGCCGCAAGGCUAAAACUCAAAGGAAUUGACGGGGACCCGCACAAGCAGUGGAGUAUGUGGUUUAAUUCGAGGCAACGCGAAGAACCUUACCAGGGUUUGACAUCCUGCGCCAGGCUUGGAGACAGGCUGUUCCUUCGGGACGCAGAGACAGGUGG
RNAcentral lists this ribosomal RNA (245 nucleotides) under uncultured Oscillospiraceae bacterium. RNAcentral's name for it is "partial 16S ribosomal RNA". It matches the Rfam family "Bacterial small subunit ribosomal RNA", at positions 796 to 1041 of the family's 1533-position model. Lineage: Bacteria; Bacillati; Bacillota; Clostridia; Eubacteriales; Oscillospiraceae. The record is from RNAcentral.